This 429-nucleotide ribosomal RNA is filed under the name Bacillota bacterium. RNAcentral describes it as "Firmicutes bacterium partial 16S ribosomal RNA". It matches the Rfam family "Bacterial small subunit ribosomal RNA", at positions 355 to 776 of the family's 1533-position model. Lineage: Bacteria; Bacillati; Bacillota. The record is from RNAcentral.
UAGGGAAUCUUCGGCAAUGGACGGAAGUCUGACCGAGCAACGCCGCGUGAGUGAAGAAGGUUUUCGGAUCGUAAAGCUCUGUUGUUAGAGAAGAACGUUGGUAGGAGUGGAAAAUCUACCAAGUGACGGUAACUAACCAGAAAGGGACGGCUAACUACGUGCCAGCAGCCGCGGUAAUACGUAGGUCCCGAGCGUUGUCCGGAUUUAUUGGGCGUAAAGCGAGCGCAGGCGGUUCUUUAAGUCUGAAGUUAAAGGCAGUGGCUUAACCAUUGUACGCUUUGGAAACUGGAGGAGUUGAGUGCAGAAGGGGGGAGUGGAAUUCCAUGUGUAGCGAUGAAAUGCGUAGAUAUAUGGAGGAACACCGGUGGCGAAAGCGGCUCUCUGGUCUGUAACUGACGCGGAGGCUCGAAAGCGUGGGGAGCAAACAGG